UCUACACUUUGAGGUAGACUCAUCUGGACAGUUCUUCGGCUGGUCAGAUGAUGGCAGGACUGUGGUGUUCAUGAAAACAGGUCUUUGCACACAGGAAAGCCAAUUUUUAAAACAUUCGUCUGAGGAGCUCCUGUUUAAAAGAGAAAGAUCCAUAAAUGCAGCUUCUGUCGGUAAUGAGAAAAUGGAAAUCACAAGCAAGACCAGAGAACUCAUUCCACUCAUUCCACCAGAAUCUUAAUGAUCGCCGGAAUAAUUGUGCUGGUCUCUCAAAUCGGGAAGUGGACAGUCACAGCACCGGAUUUUUAUACGAGGGUCAGAUGGGUUCAUGUUUUUUUUAAUUGGGCUCAUUUCUAAACCAUGUGCUUGUCAUGAUGCCUUAAUCUCUUCCCUGUCCCCCAGCAAAACUGCGUUCUCUCUCCUUGUCUCCCUCAAACAAAUGCCGCUUCUCAAAGAGGGAAAUGAGCUUCCCUCUCUUGCCAACAGAUUUCUUAUCAUAUGACUGCUCUGCCGUGGGUGAACCUCUGU
This is a long non-coding RNA of Suricata suricatta (meerkat), 525 nucleotides long. RefSeq lists it as uncharacterized. Lineage: Eukaryota; Metazoa; Chordata; Mammalia; Carnivora; Herpestidae. The transcript has 3 exons. The record is from RefSeq and is a predicted model, not a curated record.